UACGUAGGGGGCAAGCGUUGUCCGGAUUUAUUGGGCGUAAAGAGCGUGUAGGCGGUUAUGCAGGUCCGCUGUGAAAACUGGAGGCUUAACCUCCAGACGUCGGUGGAAACCGUAUGACUAGAGUCCGGAAGAGGAGAGUGGAAUUCCUGGUGUAGCGGUGAAAUGCGCAGAUAUCAGGAGGAACACCGGUGGUGUAGACGGCUUUCUGGACCGUAACUGACGCUGAGACACGAAAGCGUGGGUAGCAAACAGG
Molecule: ribosomal RNA, 253 nt
Filed under: uncultured bacterium
Lineage: Bacteria
Description: partial 16S ribosomal RNA
Rfam family: Bacterial small subunit ribosomal RNA
Source: RNAcentral